UACGUAGGUGGCAAGCGUUGUCCGGAAUUACUGGGCGUAAAGCGUGCGUAGACGGUUAUGUAAGUUAGGUGUGAAAGCCCCGGGCUCAACCUGGGAAUUGCAUUUAAGACUGCAUAGCUAGGGUGCGGAAGAGGGAAGCGGAAUUUCCGGUGUAGCGGUGAAAUGCGUAGAUAUCGGAAGGAACAUCAGUGGCGAAAGCGGCUUCCUGGUCCAGCACCGACGUUCAGGCACGAAAGCGUGGGGAGCAAACAGG
This 253-nucleotide ribosomal RNA is filed under the name uncultured bacterium. Its description in RNAcentral is "partial 16S ribosomal RNA". It matches the Rfam family "Bacterial small subunit ribosomal RNA", at positions 524 to 776 of the family's 1533-position model. The record is from RNAcentral.